This is a long non-coding RNA of Homo sapiens (human), 525 nucleotides long. Lineage: Eukaryota; Metazoa; Chordata; Mammalia; Primates; Hominidae. The record is from Ensembl.
CAUUUAAAAAUGUAAAACCCAUUCUUAGCUUUCAAGCCAUACAAAACCAGGCUGCAAGCUGGAUUUGACCCUCAAGCUAUAGUUUGCCAACUCCUGCUCCAUCCUAUGCUAUCUUGCCUUACAUCUACAUGAAAGAUGUAACAUGUCAGACAGAGUGUGCCUGAACAGUGACCAGCGCAGACUAAGUGGUCAGUAAGUGUUCAUUCUCGUUCCCUUCCCUAAUCUCGUUCUUCUUCUUCCUCCCCACAACCAGAUCAGAUAUCUCAUUCUGUGCCCAGCACAAGAGAGGAAGACGAGGGCUUUCGCAAGGUCUAAUCAGCAGGCAGAGCCUGAGAAAUUAUCCCUUCGGAGGAGAGAGGCUGUCAUUGGAGCACCAUAAACAGCCCCUCCAGGUCCCAGCAUGUUCCAAUGGAGAGUCAGAAGUUCAAAUCCCAGUGCUACCACUGACAAGCUCUAUGAUCGUGGGCAAAACUGCUUAACCUAACAGGCCCUAAAUUUCCUGUACAUUAAAAUGAAUAUAAUGAU